GGCAGCCGGCAUGGGUUUUUCCUGACUCCGCACCUUCAAGGACCCCUCCUUGCGCUCCUGAAUUCGAUUCCCCCGUUGAAUUGGCCCGCUGGAGGACCCAAGUUUGAGAGGAAGUUUGAUUCCAUUCUUCGAUUAGUCGCCGGCUGGAGCGCUGGCUCUCCUAAGGAGAUUCGCCUUAGAUUGCUCUGAUCGGUCGGUCGCCCUUGUCACUGAAAGUACCCUGUUUGUUUUACUUAUGAGGAUGAUGACACUGAUGCUGUGUUAGCUGAUAAUGAUGCCACUAGCCAACUUGCUAUUGCAACUAAUGAUAUGUACAAGUUUUGUUGCAGCACCAAAGCCAAAGAAAGUAGCAUCACUCACAGUUACAAAUGAAUUGGUUCUUUGUGUUGUGAAUUGUGAUUUGAAGGAAGAGAAUGAAUUAGAGCAAAGAAGCAUAGGAAUGAAGAUAGUACAAUGGAAUGAAGUAUCUCAAGGAAGAUCAUGAAGCAUGACAUAAUAUAAAUUGAUUGAUUUUCCAUUCGAUGCAUUCUAGGAGGAAGUGAAUGAAUACUAAUUCAUGGUGAUGCCAUCAUGUGAAAGUGAUUAAAUGAUGACUACCAAAAAUUUGCCUUGCCAAUAGGAAUGUAUUUUACAGUCA
Molecule: long non-coding RNA, 637 nt
Organism: Neltuma alba
Lineage: Eukaryota; Viridiplantae; Streptophyta; Magnoliopsida; Fabales; Fabaceae
Exons: 3
Source: RefSeq, a predicted model, not a curated record